This 477-nucleotide ribosomal RNA is filed under the name uncultured bacterium. RNAcentral's name for it is "bacterial SSU rRNA". It matches the Rfam family "Bacterial small subunit ribosomal RNA", at positions 15 to 518 of the family's 1533-position model. The record is from RNAcentral.
GAUCAUGGACUCAGAACGAACGCUGGCGGCAGGCUUAACACAUGCAAGUUGAACGGGAUUGAUUGGUAGCUUGCUAUUAAUCAUGAGAGUAGCGCACUGGUGAGUAACACGUGGGAACGUACCUAUUGGUGGGGGACAACAGUUGGAAACGACUGCUAAUACCGCAUAAGCCCUGAGGGGGAAAGAUUUAUUGCCGAUAGAUCGGCCCGCGGAAGAUUAGGUAGUAGGUGGGGUAACGGCCUACCUAGCCGACGAUCUAUAGCUGGUCUAAGAGGACGAUCAGCCACAUUGGAACUGAGACACGGUCCAGACUCCUACGGGAGGCAGCAGUGAGGAAUAUUGGGCAAUGGAGGCAACUCUGACCCAGCCAUGCCCGCGUGAGUGAAGAAGGUUUUCGGAUUGUAAAGCUCUUUCAGAUGAGAAGAUGAUGACGGUAUCAUCAGAAGAAGCACCGGCUAACUUCGUGCCAGCCGCAGC